UGAAAUGGGCGCCAAUAGGAGUC
This 23-nucleotide non-coding RNA is filed under the name Arabidopsis thaliana (thale cress). Lineage: Eukaryota; Viridiplantae; Streptophyta; Magnoliopsida; Brassicales; Brassicaceae. The record is from RNAcentral.